RNAcentral lists this long non-coding RNA (719 nucleotides) under Pongo abelii (Sumatran orangutan). Its description in RNAcentral is "lincRNA". Lineage: Eukaryota; Metazoa; Chordata; Mammalia; Primates; Hominidae. The record is from RNAcentral.
GCACUCAUUCUCCAAGCCCACAUGUGAUCCGAUUCAUCCAGUACACCAAGUGUCCAGGGACAUCUAGAUGAUAGAAGUUCCUUCAGAUGGGUCCCUGGUGUGAGGGUGUCCUGUAUCAGACUGCCUAUUGAAGUUCAACCUGCGGUUCAAGACAGGAUCUCAUUCAGAAUACUACUUUCAUUCAGGCUGGAGUGCAGUGGAACGACCUUAGCUGUCUGCAACUUCCGCCUCCUGGGCUCAAGCGAUUCUCCUGCCUCAGGCUCUGGAGUAGCUGGGACUACAGGCAUGCGCCACAACACCAGGGGAAAAAAAAAACCAACCAACAAACUGAGCCUGAAACUGAUAACACAGAUACGUACAGCAUCAUAUUUAAGUAACCAAUCUAAAUUAUUGCAGUGGAGAUGUUUUAUUGGUGGGAAAUAGAGUAUCACACCAUUUCAGACAUCAGGAGAUAAUUAUCCCUCUCUUCUCAGAACCAGCUUCUUCAAAGGAGUCAGGAAUUAUUUAUGAUAGAAACUACUGAAACAAUACUAAGGAGUUCAUAGGUUGCUGAGAAGGUAGCUUCCUGCCCUCUGCUUGAGGAACACAGAUGGAAGAAAGGAGAAGAUCUGGUCCCCACAGCUCCUGAAAUGCUGAUUAAGCAUUAUGGGAUUUAAGGUUUCCUGGCCAAGUCUGAGCUAAAAUGUAACAUUCCUGAAGAACACCAUAAAGAAAGAAAA